Molecule: long non-coding RNA, 605 nt
Organism: Ornithodoros turicata
Lineage: Eukaryota; Metazoa; Arthropoda; Arachnida; Ixodida; Argasidae
Exons: 2
Source: RefSeq, a predicted model, not a curated record
CCGCCGUCAUGAAAGCGUCACCUGCAGCUCGGGUUACAUGAAGGGCUUCGUGGCACUGGCUGCAUUGUGUGUGUCCGCCUUGACGGGUAAAUAACGGCGGUGCAACCAUGCGAGCGGAAAGCGAGAGGAAGGGGUCAAGGAUUCUUCUUUACUUCGCACAUAACGGUAUUCUCGCUUCUCUCCGACGACUGCCAUCGCUCCGGAGACAACUAUCAAAAAUGGGCAACAAAAGUUGUGUAAGAACGUGGACUGCCAUGAAACAUCCACAAGAAGUGUCUCUAUAAUAUCUAUAGAAAUAUUUCGCUUUGAUUGAUACACAUCGCUCCUUCAGGACGAGAGAAGGUUACCAGAAGUUUACCAUCAGGAGCUCGUGGCACGUUUCCAAUAUAGGUCGUUCGCAAGGCCGAUCGAUACGAACUGCACAGCACGUGCAUGCAUCGCUGCCACUUCAACAGAAUAGUGAAGGACAUUUUACUUCCAGUUGUUCUUGCAGACAGACAGAACUCACAAAGGACGUUUUAGUGAACGUGUUGAUUCAGAAUACAAUGUGGUGUGUGAUUGUGAGACUCCGUUUUGAAUUCAAAUAGACGUUGGUAUUCUUCCAA